RNAcentral lists this transfer RNA (71 nucleotides) under Cordylochernes scorpioides. RNAcentral's name for it is "tRNA-Gly". The record is from RNAcentral. Lineage: Eukaryota; Metazoa; Arthropoda; Arachnida; Pseudoscorpiones; Chernetidae.
UGCAUCGGCCGGGAAUCGAAUCCUGGCCGCCCGCGUGGCAGGCGAGCAUUCUACCACUGAACCACCGAUGC